Vidua chalybeata is the source of this 233-nucleotide long non-coding RNA. RefSeq lists it as uncharacterized. The transcript has 2 exons. NCBI's taxonomy places the organism in Eukaryota, Metazoa, Chordata, Aves, Passeriformes, Viduidae. The record is from RefSeq and is a predicted model, not a curated record.
CCGGAUGCUACUCCAAGGCCUGUCCGGGCUCCCGAGCCAAAGAACACAGGGAUUCGCUGCCACCCCGGGAUACCCCUAACACCCUGGAAAAGGCAUGUUUUCCUUCAAUCAAGACCCUCAAAACCACGAGUGCACGGGAAUCCCACCCAGUUCAAACACAGGCAAUAAUGGAAGAGAAGUUGCUUCCCUCAUUUUGAAUUUCUUUUGUCUUAAUAAACCCUAGUUUGUUUGGG